CAAACAAAAAUAUAAACGAAUGGUCAUGGUAAAAAGUAAAGUAAAAAACGAGUAAACAUACACACGUACACGUACACAACGUCAACUAAGAUGCGUGCACUCAACCUAGAGAAAAAUGAUGUCAUAAUGCUAAUAAAAGCAUGCGUAUGUCAAACGAAACAAACUGUGUGUCGUGUCCUUAUGUGGCAGUUACGUAUGUGCGUCAAUGAGUGUUACCUGCGCGCGGCCGAAGUAAUUCAUAUAGGAAAUAACAGGAAAGGUGCGUAGGUCCGAGUGUAGUGCGGGCUACCACGAAUGUGCGCCGGUCAUCGACGCGGCCGUCACAUUCCCCUUAUAAACGCAGAAAAAUGUUGAGUGGCUUAAGUUUUACCUUAAAUAAAUGAAACGUUCCAAAGACAAUGCACACCGUGCGUAAAUAAAACUAUUUUUCUAGCAUGAAAUUACCAUUGCACUGAAACUCCCAUGGUGUACUUUUGGCGUAUGGGCUGUUUAGUCCCUCAUUCAGACACAAAACUCUUCAUAAGCUGUAAAGCAGCAAGGCGAGACAACAUUCAAGUAUUUAUAUGCUCACUAACUCCAAAACGUCCCUUACCCAGUCGCAUGCCCCCACACACUGGCACCCACACACACUACCUCCCUCACACACUACCUCACCCAUCUUUACACAUACACGUACACACACAGACAGACACACACGCACCAUAUCGUGUCAGCCUCAUUAAAUCACACUCAUAAAGACUAGUUAAGUCAACUGCAGCAUUUUCAGCAAAUAAUUCAGCCUGAGAUCGUGGCAGAAACAUGAUGAAUUUCCUGUGAGGGAUAGACACACCCACUUGUAAAUAAAUAGCCAACCAGCUGUUCUAAAAGUUCCUGUCGUAGGGAACAGCGAACACAGCCACCGUAACUCUUGAGAACAGAACUGCACAUGAGAAUGAAAUUUGUCGCACGUUCAGGCAUUCAAAUGAAGGACUGGAGUUCGAUGGAGCUGCCGUUCACGAAUCUGGAGAUCGCCUUCAUUCUGAUAGCCUUCGUAGUGUUCUCCCUGUUCAGCUUGGCUUCGGUCUACAGUGAACCAAACGCAAAAAAAGAAGAGGAAAGCCCC
Anguilla anguilla (European eel) is the source of this 1102-nucleotide long non-coding RNA. RefSeq lists it as uncharacterized. Lineage: Eukaryota; Metazoa; Chordata; Actinopteri; Anguilliformes; Anguillidae. The transcript has 3 exons. The record is from RefSeq and is a predicted model, not a curated record.